RNAcentral lists this ribosomal RNA (449 nucleotides) under uncultured bacterium. Its description in RNAcentral is "partial 16S ribosomal RNA". It matches the Rfam family "Bacterial small subunit ribosomal RNA", at positions 29 to 523 of the family's 1533-position model. The record is from RNAcentral.
AGCGAACGCUGGCGGCAGGCCUAAAACAUGCAAGUCGAACGCCGUAGCAAUACGGAGUGGCAGACGGGUGAGUAACACGUGGGAACGUGCCCUUUGGUUCGGAACAACUCAGGGAAACUUGUGCUAAUACCGGAUAAGCCCUUACGGGGAAAGAUUUAUCGCCGAAGGAUCGGCCCGCGUCUGAUUAGCUAGUUGGUGGGGUAACGGCCCACCAAGGCUACGAUCAGUAGCUGGUCUGAGAGGAUGAUCAGCCACACUGGGACUGAGACACGGCCCAGACUCCUACGGGAGGCAGCAGUUAGGAAUCUUGGACAAUGGGCGCAAGCCUGAUCCAGCCAUGCCGCGUGAGUGAUGAAGGCCUUAGGGUUGUAAAGCUCUUUCAGCGGGGAAGAUAAUGACGGUACCCGCAGAAGAAGCCCCGGCUAACUUCGUGCCAGCCGCCGCGGUAA